Molecule: unclassified non-coding RNA, 231 nt
Filed under: fungal sp.
Lineage: Eukaryota; Fungi
Description: partial internal transcribed spacer region
Rfam family: Eukaryotic small subunit ribosomal RNA (bases 1-48)
Source: RNAcentral
AAAAGUCGUAACAAGGUUUCCGUAGGUGAACCUGCGGAAGGAUCAUUCAUGAAAUUACUAGUAGCUUAUGCUGCUAAUAACACUCUUGUGAACCAACAAAGCUGCAUCGUGUCUGGGAGGGUCACUUCUCGGCCAUGCUGCAGUUUUAACCACUUUUUGACUAUUGUCUAUUGCUUAAACACACGUUUUGUAUAAAAACACAACUUUCAGCAACGGAUCUCUAGGCUCUCG